Molecule: long non-coding RNA, 315 nt
Organism: Labrus mixtus (cuckoo wrasse)
Lineage: Eukaryota; Metazoa; Chordata; Actinopteri; Labriformes; Labridae
Exons: 3
Source: RefSeq, a predicted model, not a curated record
UUAGUCCUGCUUACUCCUGGGAUCCGUACUGGUUUGUCAUGGUUCUGUCCUGGUUUAAUCCUAAUUUAGUCCUAGUUAGUCCUGGUUGAGUCCUAUUAUGUCCUGGUUUAGUUUAAGUUAGUCUUGGUUUAGUCUGAGUUAGUUCUGGUUAAAUCCUAGUCAGUCUUCAUCAUUCUUAGUUAGUUCUGAUUUAGUCCUAGUUAGUCAGGGGUUUAGUCCUGGUUUAGUCUGAGUUAGGUUCUGGUUUUGUCUGGUGUAGUCAGGGGUUAGUCCUGGUCAUUUUCAGUUAGUGCUGCUUCAGUCAUGGUAAGUCCU